UUUUUUUUUUUUUUGAACAGUUGUAUUGAGUUUCAUAGCAGGGAAAGCUGUUUUGUUGCCAAAUGGUUGUUACCAUGAUUUCUACUGAAAGAAGGAUUUUGGAGGGGAGAGCGAGUCCAAAUGUGCUGUUUAUUUCAGAGUUGUGUGGUAUCUUUUAAUGCACAAUGUUGUUAGUAGUCUGGGUAAAUGCUGCUGCUUUAGCUGACAGGAAAAACUGACAUAAACCAUGAUGUAUUCUGAACUGGGGUUUGUAACUGUUAGAAACAGCAGUCAGACAUCAUCGACUAGCUUUGUAUUGUAAGGCCUAUUGAACUGACAAGCAUAAAUUAACAGGAGACAUCUCUUAGCUCACAUGCAAGUAACUGGUUGUAUGAAGUGUAGUUUAGGCAUUAUACCCUCCAAAUUCUGUCUUCUCUUACCCACACAUGGCUGCUUAUUUCUAGUGCUGCAUACCUGCUCUUAACAUUCUUAAUCCACAGGCACUAAUUCUACCUAAAGGAUAUUCUAAAAUGGUAUGCACAUGUGUUAUAUCCUUGACAUGCUUUUUCCCAAAGUUUGCUGGAACUUGGUAGCUGGUGGAGCAAGGAUUGCCUUUGGGUUUGGGCUCAUGUUGCCUUUAGCAAUUGUUGACAUAAUUCAUGUUGCUAAUGUUUUGUAGCUUUAAUUAGGGUGGUUUUUUUUUGGAAGGCAUCCACAUGGUGCACUUGGAGGGUGGAGUGAGAGCUCAUAGUAUUGAACUGCAGCUGGUUUUGUGGUUUAGAAGGAAGUUAUUGCUCCAGUGAACUAAUAAGGAUGGCACCAUGUUUUUGAAGGCAGCAGUAGCAAAGUCUUUGCUGUCUUCAGAUGAUGGCAAGUCUUAUUGAAGGAUCCCAGCAUGAGCAGUUCCAUGCAUUUCUGGACUUGUUUCAUGUUAUCCCUGAAAUGCAUGCUUGUAGCAAGAACCUGAGGUUGCUACAAACCAUACUUUUGGUUCAUCUAGGGCAAACACUGUUAGACCCUCCUACUUUUAAAAGUCACAGAAGUGGUGGAGUUUACCAGGUGUUACAUACGGUUUGCAAUUAAUUAAGUGGAGGUGAGAGAAAAUGCUUUAUGCAAUGGAAGCAUUUAUAUGGAUUACUUUAGUAUUGUUCAUGAACACUAAAUCAGUCUCCUGUUUCAAAUUAUGAUUAAGUAUAGUUUUGCUUUCUUUCUGUUGGACUAAUAAGUCUUUUUAUGAAUAAGCACCUUAGGUUGUAUUGUUUUAGGGCACCUUUGUAAGUUUAUGCCAAUGUAAAUUCUUUGUAUAUUGUGGUAAAAGUGACCUUAAUCUGAUUAACCUAGGUGUCCACACUUGUUUUCUGUGGGAGAGAAUCUUUCUGAGAUACUUGUUCUUCUAAAUACUUACCCAUAAUUAUUUUGGUUGCAAUCAUUUGCUUAUUUGUCUUGAUUCAAUUUCUUUUAUCUUUUAAUGUAAAAGUCUUCUCUCUUGACUAUAUAUUUAAUUUGUGGCUUGCUCUGGGUAAGUUAAUACAGCCUCAGUUUGGCCUUAUUACUUCAAGUUCUAGUCUACCCUCUUUGAAGGUAAUUAAUAUAAAUUCUUGUGGUAUGUUCUGUGUAGUUUCACUUCUAGAUACACAGUUGCCUUUCAUUGUCUUCAGCGCUAUUCUGCUUGUAUACUGCAGUAAAACGUGUGUUUCAGGGUUUGUUUUUUUUUUCUGUGAAGAUGAGUGUGUUGUGCUACUGCUAUACUUUCCCUGCUUAACAUACUAUUCUUUUUAAUUUUCAAAUUGCUUUCUUCCAAAUUUCAAACCUUUCACUAAUUUCUUGAUCAGUAUCAGAGGUAAAUAAACUGCCACACCCUAGAAUUGUCCUCUGUCUCUGAAGAAAAAUGCCCCCAGCACAGCCCACAGGCUGGUGUAUAGUAUGUCCUGCUGUUUUGCUGCCAUUAUAGGCAGGUCUCUAGGGAGCUAAUGCCCUUUAAUUUCAGCAAGAUCCUGCCAUGUGCCCACUUCUAUCAGUCAGACUGACAUACCACACAGGUAUUUCCCAUCUCAGGGAUGAAUAAAUAAGAUCAUAUUUGAUAUUUGUGGAUAAAUAUUUGGCCUCCACUCUUCCCUGAAACUUGCAGGUGUCAUAAUUUAGGAGAACUCAUGGUUACUGGCUGUGAAAGGCUGGACAGAGCUCCUGCCAGAGCCAUGAAAAUCUUCUCUUUUGUCAGCCAGCAGAUUGGCUGUUGAGCAAUUUGAGACCCUCCCUUCCCACAGAGGCCGAGUAUUUUGUUACUGCAGGGCUUCCAGGCACUCCUGCAUGGAGGAGAGAAAGCAUGGUGGUAUAGGAAGGACUGCAGAACUUGGCUGGCAAGGCAGAGCUUGAUGAGCAUUGAGUCUCUCUAUAAAACAGAUUGUUUGUUAGCCAGUUGAUGAUGACUUCUGUGGAGUCUGUGCUGCUCUGUAAUUAUCAGGGUUGAGAAACAAGACCAAAGGUUAUGGUUUGCAGGUUAAAUAAUCCUGUAUAAAGGAUGUGCAGCCUUUGGAAUAUCCAAAAUAGUCUAGGCUUUCAAAGUAAAAUAGCAAAGGUACCAGCAACUGACUUAUUUUGGCUGAAUUUUCUUCCUCUGUUGAGCAAUAAGGUCUGUAGACCAAAAAAAAAAAAAAAUAAAUUCUGAGAGCCCCACAAGAGAGUGGCUGCCAAACAAAACAAAGGUUUCCUGUGCAAUUCUAGAGAGCCAGGCUUCAGUCAGCCUUAUGGCAAUUGCUGGAAUUUACUUACCUCUGCAUUUUGUUUGACUGGGUGUCCUUCAGGCCCACAGGGGUAACCAGUUUUAACUUUGUGAAUUAUGAAUUUUCAAUUUAGAUGGAAAAAAAUGCAAAUAGUGUUACAGAAAACCAUAUUAAAUGGUUUCAGUGAAAUGUCGUGUGGUUUACUUUUACUUUUAUGCUGCCAUUUAUUACUAAGAGCCCAAGCACAAGCACUCCCAUACUGUUGUAUUUAUAAACUAUUUCCAUGGCCAGUGCUGCAGGUUCUUCCUGUUUUGUGUCACUUGAAGCCAACUGAAUGUUAACUGAUGCAAGGGGAUUUCUGGGUAUCCCUCUUUCAUGAUGUUGUAACAAGAAGUGUUUUGUUCCCUACUAGCAGACCUUCCUAGCUGGCUCUGGUGGGCGGGUAUUUGGGACCAGCUGCUUUGUUGUACAUGUGUUGGUGUACUGAGAAAGAUUUCUCACCUGCUUAUCCCCUGUGUUGUGGGUGUAAGUCUCUUCUGGGUUUGUGCAGGAGUUGUGGUUGAGAUACCGGUGUGUGGAAGAAACUGAUGUGUAAGACAAAAUAGAAUGGAAUAAAUAUGGAAGUUCUGUGACAAACUCUUCUGUUUGAUAUGGACUCAUCAACAAAAAUAUUUUUCUCUGCAACAUACUAUCUGCACUUCAAUUGUAAGCUAUUUGCUUCUCAGGCUAAGUUUCCCAGGCUAUUUGCUGCCUGGGAAGUCCAAGGGAAAUAAAUGUUUUAUGCUUACUUUGUCACACUUUAGAUUAAACAGCCUUUCAGUGUAGAACCUCCUUUGACCCAGGAUGCCCUGAUGUCAAAAACACAGUCCCCUGAAACUAAAUUGGAAUAAUCUUGAAACAAAAUCACUGAAGCUUUAAUUUCCUCUUUUAUUUGUGGAUGCAUAUGGAAUAAUAAUUUUGCUUCAUAAUUUCAAGCUGAAAGAUAGCUUUUCACAUCUAUCAAGAUUUUCCUUCAAAUGCAUUUAAUCUUUUAUGCUUGAUUCCUGAGAGGCACAUUAAUAUUAGGAACAGGAGAAUGAAAAAGGACCAAGGGCAGAGGAAAAUUUUAAAAAAUUGAUUAGUUUUUUGUCUUUGUGUGACUUUGAAAGCUAGAGGACAGCUGAGUAUUCCAGCAGCAAAAGAAGCAGGAGGCAUAUAUAAAAAAUACAGGAGGCAGUGCAGGAGAGUCAAGACAAAGAAGCAAGGUAGUGUGAAAAUAGAAAUAUCAAGUUUUUCUUUUAACAAUAUUGAAAGGCAGUAAGUGAACAGAGCAUAUAUUGAGGGGACAAAUCUCAGUGUGAUGUUACAGCUUUCUGACUUGUUAAGCACACCAGGAAUUUGUAGAAA
This 4085-nucleotide long non-coding RNA is filed under the name Taeniopygia guttata (zebra finch). RNAcentral's name for it is "lncRNA (ENSTGUG00000026709.1)". Lineage: Eukaryota; Metazoa; Chordata; Aves; Passeriformes; Estrildidae. The record is from RNAcentral.